UUUGGUCGAUUGAUUCCUCCCAAAUUUUAAUUGCCGUUGGAAAAAGCAUCACAUUCAUUGACCGCCUCUCGUCUCUUCUGAGUCGCCUCGAAUUCUCCGGCUGCGACGACGCCGCCGAUGCCGGCUGCUCAUCGUGGCUUCAGGCGCCGCCGACGUGGAAGCAAUCUCCGUGUUUAUUUAAUCGAUGAGGCGGAAUUCACGUCACCAUCGACCUCCUCACGGACUCGCCGUCUGAUUUCGUUGACACCGAUUCUCGCCGAUCGGUGAGAGGCGCUCCAGGAUCCACUGGGCAGUCGCUGCCGUCGGAGUCUCACUUCGGUCGGUGUCAUACUCCAGCCAUCUCGGCUGCAUCGUCACUGUCAAUUUCGUCGGACUGCUGUGGACUUCGCGGCUUAGAGGGAAGCUUUAACAGCAAUCUUUCUACUCCCUCAUGGAGAGUUUGUAUCUGGCUGGUGCUCGUCAAACGUCCUACGAAGAGGAUGCACCAUUAGAAUGAGAAGGAUCUGUUUCUCAACAUGUUCAUUCGGUUCAUAGAGGACUAUUAGAAACUGUCAGAUGACACAGUUAGCAAGAACUUAUGUUCACUGUUAAGUCAUGCAGAGUCUUUAGUUCCAGGAUUUUUGAAUGAAGAUGAUGUACAACUGCCUAGGUUAUUUGUAAGUCAGUUUGAGUGCCGAAUCGUUCGUGCUGCAUCGGAAAAUCAUUUAGUCCAUGAGCUUGGGAAGCGGUGGACUGCAGGAGCAACUAGCUUCCUGUAUUGGACUCCCGGCCCUGAUGAAAAAAAGAGGAAUAAGCUUCAUAAAAAGGAAUUUUAAUGCCAGAAAAGGAAGGUAGGAAGGUAAGACCGAUCUUGUAAAGAUGACAGCGAAGAUGGCAGUAUAUAUUUAAAGAAAACAAUUUAAUCGAUCAAUGAAAAUUGAAUGUUGGAAAGUUUCGAAGAUGAUCUAAAUUGACAGAGUAUUAUGUUUUUUAUUCUGAUAAUGAUACACUGGUAGAGGUUUGCUUUCUGCAUUUUGGUAUGUGAGAAGGUACCGGGUUUCCAGCAGGUAGGACAUCCGAACUUUUAUUGUAGUCGUCAAAUCUUGGUCUUUGCAGAUUCUGGUAACACUUCUUCUCAUCUUUUUCGGGUGUCAUUCAAACCCGUAUAUACUCAACUUGUGAUGUUUCCUACUUAUACAUGGGUGCCUAACUGCUAUUUAUUCUCAUUCAUGCCUGAUAUGUUGAUUUUAUAGAGAAUUUAAAUGUUUUUUUUGUAAUUGACAUGUUAUGUGAUUAAGAGUAAAUUUCCGAGAGGUUGUCUGUCAUGGCUCUCUAAUAUGUGCAUCUCCCUAGUUUUUAAUGAUUUCAUACACAUCACCAAUUGAUAAACAACGGAUAUUAGCUUCAUAAAUAUCCAAAAAUUGCCCUAGUACUAUGCUACUUGCUAUUUGUGUAUGCAUGCAAGAUCUUCUCUAUAUUGAUUGUCACUACUUUCACCACUUUUUUAUGGGUUAUUAGUGUAGGCUUCAUUUCUCUCAAGGGUUGGUCUGUAAACUUGUUGCUUACUAACUUCUGAAGAACUAGGUUUCCCGUGCUUCAGAUAAAGUGACAAGAGUGUUCUUUGGUGCCCGAUUUCUUGAGCUAAGGAGAGAGAACUAUUCCGGUUUUGAAAAAUUAAUUGAAAAAGCCAUAGGGCCGAUCGACUGAAUGAGAGCUUUAUGAGUUGCAAUCUUGUUGACAUUGGUGCAUAAAAAUGAUUUAGGCAAUAGGACAAAAAGCCUCAUAUCCAAAUUAUCACAUGCCUAACCCUACAUAAACCCCUAGUGAGCCAGUUUGAGCCGCAAAAGCCUAAUUUCUUUGUUGAAAAUUUUGAAGUACUAUAUUAGCCUGCUUAUUAUAUCCUUUUUUUGGCCUAUAUUUUCUACCCUAGUCACUAAAAAUAAAAUGCUAGCACAUUCUCUGGAGGGUAUUUAUGGUGGCAAGAAAAAGAUGGAAAUCCUGGAAAAUUCUUGGGAGGGUAUUUAUGGUGGCAAGAAAAAGAUGGAAGUCCUGGAACAUUCAUCAGGAGGUAUUCAUUUAUACUGAGAUACAAAGUGAAAAGUUGUGUCUUCAAGCAAAAAUAAAAUAAAAAGGCAGCCUUUAAUGUGUAAAAAAAAUCCAAGGCUAGAAAAAAAAGGCAGCCUUUCAUGUGUAAAAAAAGCCAAGGCUAGAAAAAUAAAAGGUAACCUUUCAUGUGUUAAAAAAAAGCCAAGGCUAGUAAAAAAAAUAAAAAUAAAAGGCAGCCUAUGAUGUGUAAAAAAAAGCCAAAGGCUAGAAAAAAAAGUGAAAAAUAGAAAUCUGCUCAAAAGAAUAAGAUGACUUUGUUUAGAUGGUAGAAAAAUUCAAGUUUGGGGUGUUGAGCUGUCAGAAUUUUGCACGCAUUGAGUGAGAUGUGAAGGAUGUUGUGAAGGAUGCUAUGAUGGAUGUGCUAGUAUUUUAAGAAUGUGAUAAGCUACUUAACCAAAUAUGAUCACACCUUUACCAAAAGCCCCAUUACAUCCAAAUGAAUAAGACCUUUUGAUUUAUGCAUCAUAUUGACUUGUGAGCGAUAAAUUUUGCUUGAGUUUGGGAGAAAGAUCUUAUGUGCUUAAAAUAAAGAAUAGCCGGAAGAAACUCUCUUUAUGAAUUAGUGACGAUGGUUUGAGACUCCCAAUACAUAAAUCGAACUUACAUUGAAGCAUUGGGAUGCCUAACUCUUAGGGAAUUAGUUCGUGUACAAUUCUUGUUCUAAAGUCUUACCCGCGAGUGAAUUCGGGGUCAACCUAAUUUCUCUAAAUGAUUUGUGUGAUUUGACGUGACUUGAAGUAGAGGAUUAUCUAAUGUCUUGUGAAUGUGCUUAUUUGUCUAACUUGACUUGAAGUAGAGCAAGACUUAUGUUUGGGGGUAUUUGAUGUGUGUGGGUAAUUGUUUAACUUGUUAUUAUACAAUGGAUGGAAUGGAGGGUAGCGCACUACUGCUCCAGUUCAGUUUUGACCAUCUCACUAUUUAUUCCAGUGAGUUGAAGGGUAUAAAGCUGCAACCAAUAUUUACUUCAAUAGUCAAACAUUUAUUUUUAUAAACCUAACUUUAGUUCAAUAUUUAGUGUGUCAUUUCAUACUAAAGCCAUCAAUGAAGAACUAUUGCAAAAUCUUUCUGAUGCUCUAAACUUGUCGGUACCUGAUAAAAUUGGGGUUGUACUUGCGUUGUCUAAUUCUGAAUAACACGAUAUAUAUUCACUAUGCCUGGAUGUGUGGUUAGUUAUUUUCUUCUUUGUACAUACAUUUAGAUAUAAUUUUUUGUUUAGUUGUAGGAAGUGGAAUACAUACAACAGUUUAUAAUUUUUAUCUCUUUGGGAUUCUUCUACAUGCUGCACUAAACCUGUAACCCUUUUCUUGGUUGUAUGCAGGAAAGACUUUGUGUUUGAGUUUAGGGUUGUUUGAGUCAGAUCACAGAGCAAUCAUGCUGCAUUUGAGGCUACUGAGAUAAUUCAGCAUAUUCUAGUGUUACUCGUAGUCGAUUUGAAGACCUCUCUAAGCAUUUAGAUUCAUUCUUGCAUAAAUAGACUAGAAAGUACUUAGUCGAUCUAAAGGUCGAGGGUGGUAGGGGGCGACUGAGUUCUUAACAUAAAAGAAACCAGUGGAAAGGAUGGAAAACUGAAGAUCCUAUUGCAUAAAUAGACUAGAAAGUACUUAGUCGAUAUAAAGGUCGAGGGUGGUAGGGGGCGACUGUCGAGGGUGGUAGGGGGAGACUGAGUUCUUAACAUAAAAGAAACCAGUGGAAAGGAUGGAAAACUGAAGGCACAAGUCUAUUUAUUGAUUUUUGAGCUUGCUUUGCUUGAUCAUUUGCUUCUUGGUUGUUGCACCUAUAUUUUUCUGCUUAUUUAAUUCAUUCGUUGCUGCAUUUUGCAGAUUUAUAAUUAAUCUGUUAAAUAUAUUAUAUUUUUGUGAGUUAUACUGUGGCUGACGUUUUUAUUCUUUUUCUAAUCCACUGUUUGCUGUCUUGCUACUCUAUAAAUAAUACAUACAUAGUAUCCUAUUUUUCUUUAUCUCAUAUGCCUGUACAAAUAUGUGCUAUAUUAGUGUUUCUUUGAUAUAUAAACCCCCAUUGAUUGUCAAAUCUUGGCAUCUUAAUAUAUGCUUUUACAGGCUCUUUCCCAAGUACUUACUAGACACAUUUGCUUUUUACUUUCGCAUUAGGUUUGCUGAACUUGCAUCUAAAAAAGAAAUCAUGGGCCAUGGAAGCUGGUUGAGCACUCAAUUGAGUCUAUAACAAAUGUUCUUGCAUUGCUGAAAAAAUGUUUGGUAUAGAUUCAAGAGAGUUAAAUGCUCCCACCGAGGCAAGUUACCCGAAGGGACUGGAACGUAAUACAAAGCGCUUGGCAGAUGUCGUCUCAGAUGCUUCAAAUUUUCGGUCAUUCAUUAUGAUAAACUUUAGGGAAGCUUUAGCAGCAAUCUUUCUACUCCCUCAUGGAGAGUUUGUAUCUGGCUGGUGAUCGUCUAACGUUCUAGUUUGUGAAGAGGAUGCACCAUUAGAUGUACCUCGUUCAUCUUAUGCUCAUCAGAAAACGUCUUUGUUGAUUAAAGUGAUUGUAAACCUUCAUUGCUUUGUUCCUGAUGUAUACCAGGAUGAGAAAGAUCUGUUUCUCAACAUGUUCAUUCGGUUAAUAGAGAAGGACUAUCAGAAACUGUCAGCAUUUUGGUAUGCGAGAAGGUACUAGGUUUCCCAGCAGGAAAGACUUUGUGUUUGAGGCAGAUUACAGAGCAAUCAUACUGCGUUUGAGGCUACUGAGAUAAUUCAGCAUAUUCUAGUGUUACUCGUAGUUGAUUUGAAGGCCUCUCUAAGCAUUUAGAUUCAUUCUUGCAAAUGUUAUCUCUUGUGCUGCUAAGUUGUUUUCUGUGAUUGUUCCUAGUGCAUAAAUAGACUAGAUAGUACUUAGUCGAUCUGAAGGUCGAGGGUAGUAGGGGCCGACUGAGUUCUUAACUUAAAAGAAGCGGGGGGAAGGGUCGAAAAAUGAAGGCACAAGUCUAUUUAUUGAUUUUUGAGCUUGCUUUGCUUGAUCUUCUGUUUCUUGGUUGGUGCGCUUAUAUUUUUCUACUUAUUUAAUUCAUUCUUUGCUGCAUUUUGCAGCUUUAUAAUUAAUCUGUAAUAUAUAUAUAUAUAUAUAUACAUAUAUAAUAUUAUAUUUUUGUGUGUUAUACGACGUUUUUCUACUUUUUCUAAUCCACUAUUCUCUUCUUUGUACAUACAUAUAGAUAUAAUUUUUGUUUAGUUGUAGGAAGUGGAAUACAUACAACAGUUUAUAAUUUUUGUGUCCUUGGAAUUCUUCUACAUGUUGCACUACUAAACCUGGAACCCUUUUCUUGGCUGUAUGCAGGAAAGAAUUUCUGUGACUUAGAUUACUGAGUUGUGUGCCAAUUCUGUUACGUUUGAGGCUUCUGAUGUAAUUUAGCAUAUUCUCGUGUCACUCUUAGUCGAUUUGAAGGCCUCUCUAAGCAUUUGGAUUCAUUCUAUUUGAAGGCCUCUCUAAGCAUUUAGAUUCAUUCUUUCCAAUGUUAUCUCUUGUGCAACUAAGGUGUUUUCUAUGAUAGUUCCUAGUGCAUAAAUAGAGUAGAAUAUACUUAGUCGAUCUGAAGGUCGGGGGUGGUAGGUGGCAACUGAGUUUUUAACUUAUAAGAAAUGGGGGAAGGUGUGGAAAAUAGAAGGCACAAGUCUAUUUAUUGGUUUUUGAGCUUGCUUUGCUUGGUCUUCUGCUUCCUGGUUGUUGCGCCUAUAUUUUUCUACUUAUUUUAUUCAUUCUUUGCUGUCUUUUGCAGCUAUAUAAUUAAACUAUUACAUAUAUUAAAUUUUUGUUUGUUAUACUGUGCUUGACGUUUUUCAUCUUUUUCUAAUCCAAUUUUUGCUACCUUGCAGCAUAAUUAAUUAAUACAUGCAUAGUAUCCUAUUUUUCUUUGUCUCCAUGCCGUGUACAAAUAUGUGCAAUAUUAGUGUUUCUUAGAUAUGUAAACCCCAUCGAUUGUCAAAUCUUGGCUUCUUAAUAUAUCUGUUAAACGCUUUUACAGGCUCUUUCCCAAGUAAAGUUACUUACUAGACACAUUUCCUUUUUACUUUGGCAUUCAGUUUGUUGUAUUGCAUCUAAAAAAGAAAUCAUGGGCCUUGUAAGCUGGUGGAGCAAUCAAUGAGUGUCAAGUAAAGAUACUUUCUAUAAGGAUCAGUCAUUAAGCAUCAAUGUGUGACUCGCCUUACGUGGGGUAUUGCUUUACGAGCUGUUUUAGAUGCUUUGAGGAAGCCUGCAGAUUCAGAAGUUUGUUCCUUCCUAGUUUAUCAGUUAAUGUUAUUAUUGUGAAUUUCAGUCUUACCUUGGAUUUAUGACAUUCCUUUGGGAGUAUGGCAUUGGAGCAGUUUGUGGACCAUCUCAUUGAGUGGCCACAGUAUGCCAUCAUAUCCUGCACUUUGUUGCAUUUAUAGAUAGGGCACUCAACAGUAUUUCGGCGGCUUAUACUGAACGUGAUGUUGGCCAUACUGCCAAUACUGAUCACCGACACGGUCAUAUUCAAUCUUCAGCUCCACAUAUAGAGAUUGUAGGCCCAUCAUUUUCUCUGAUCGGACCCAGCAGCAAUUGUCUGGAUUAGCAAUUCCCUCUUCGAUCCCACUGCAACAGAGACCACCAAGUUCUCAGAGUUCACUCCUAAUUACAUGAAUCCAUCACAACACACCUACCCUUCCUAAGUCACUCAGUGGUGCUUUGCUGUCAAUACAAUCUGCCUCGUCGGAUUUCCAUGGUCUUCUAGAUCAACCUCAGCAAGUAAAUAAUCAGGUUUAACUGUGCUACUCUCUCUCACUGUGCGCUUUAUGGAUUACAUUAACAUGGGGACUGGUUUUACAACUAUGAGAAGAGAAACUCCCAUAGAGGUGAUUGGAUGUAGCUGUCUUAUCAUUUUUAAUUCUCUGUUUACACUUUGUUUUGAUCCUUUUGGUUUUCCUAUGCUUUUACUCUGACGAUUUUCUUCCCUGUUAUGAGUUAGCAAUUACAAGUUCUGUUAAUAGCACAUUUAACUUUAUCCCACUGGUUAACUAAAUCUCACACUUCUAAAUUCUUUCUUAACUCCCGAUUACUUUCUCGUUUUCCUUUUCCCCUUUUGUUUCUUUAUUAUUUGUUUUCUUCCAUGUGCAAUGGAGGCGCUCUGAUUCUGGUUCAGGCUGUCAUGAACUUAAAGUUAUCGUGCUCAGACAAUAUUUCCUCAUACAUGGCUGUUAUCUCCUGCCUAAAAUCUAAAGCUUUAUCUAUUCUUUUGCAACUCUGAAGCUGAAGUGUAUCAUAUACCUGGAUGAGGUGGCCAGCAACACAGCAACUCAGGAUAUAUGGCAAAGUCAGUUGGACUCGAGGUUCUUGCAUUGCUGAAAAAAGCUUGGUAUAGAUUCAAGACAGUUAAAUGCUCCCUCCGAGGCAAGUUACCGAACAGGCAACUGGAGCUUAAGACAAAGCUCUUGGCAGAUGCCGUCUCAAAUGCUUCAAAUUAUUUGUCAUUCAUCAUGAAUUGUGUUUAGCGUUUGUAUUUUGUGUAUUGUGUAGUGUUUUUUUGUAUGCAUGUGUAAAGUGUGUUUGCGUAGUGUAGGUAUUUUUGUGUAUUUUGUGUAUA
Salvia splendens (bonfire salvia) is the source of this 7634-nucleotide long non-coding RNA. RefSeq lists it as uncharacterized. The transcript has 18 exons. Lineage: Eukaryota; Viridiplantae; Streptophyta; Magnoliopsida; Lamiales; Lamiaceae. The record is from RefSeq and is a predicted model, not a curated record.